GACGAACGCUGGCGGCGUGCCUAAUACAUGCAAGUCGAGCGAACGGACGAGAAGCUUGCUUCUCUGAUGUUAUCGGCGGACGGGUGAGUAACACGUGGAUAACCUACCUAUAAGACCGGGAUAACAUCGGGAAACCGGAGCUAAUACCGGAUAAUAUUUUGAAUCUGAUGGUUCAAAAGUGAGAGACGGUCUUUGUGUCACUUAUAGAUGGAUCCGCGCUGCAUUAGCUAGUUGGUAAGGUAACGGCUUACCAAGGCAACGAUGCAUAGCCGACCUGAGAGCGUGAUCGGCCACCCUGGAGGUGAGACACAGCCCCGACUCCUGCGGUGGGAAGCAGUAGGGAAUCUUCCGGAAGGAGCGAAAGCGGGACGGUGCACCGCCGCCGGAGGGAUGAUGGUGUUCGGAUGGUUAAACUCUGUUAUUAGGGGAGAAGAAAUGUGUAAGUAACUGUGCACAUCUUGACGGUACCUGGACAGAAAGCCCCGGCUAACUACGUG
This 497-nucleotide ribosomal RNA is filed under the name uncultured bacterium. Its description in RNAcentral is "partial 16S ribosomal RNA". It matches the Rfam family "Bacterial small subunit ribosomal RNA", at positions 28 to 507 of the family's 1533-position model. The record is from RNAcentral.